UAUAUUUUGGUGUAAAGAUGCACAAAAACUUUUGAUGUUUUAAGUUAUAGUUUAAUUCUAUUUAAUAUAG
Molecule: transfer RNA, 70 nt
Filed under: Sinomiopteryx guangxiensis
Lineage: Eukaryota; Metazoa; Arthropoda; Insecta; Mantodea; Thespidae
Description: tRNA-Gln
Source: RNAcentral